Molecule: unclassified non-coding RNA, 116 nt
Filed under: uncultured fungus
Lineage: Eukaryota; Fungi
Description: sequence contains ITS1
Source: RNAcentral
CCGAGUGAGGGCCUUCAACCCUUAAACCUGUGGAAGUGAGACGUGCUUCGGCCCUCUCUCGGGAGGGCCGUCUCUAUGCAGAAUCAAGUCUUGUGUCUGAAUCCAAUAAAGAUUUA